Molecule: long non-coding RNA, 3348 nt
Organism: Piliocolobus tephrosceles (Ugandan red Colobus)
Lineage: Eukaryota; Metazoa; Chordata; Mammalia; Primates; Cercopithecidae
Exons: 4
Source: RefSeq, a predicted model, not a curated record
CGAUAUAAAUGAUGUGAAAGUACUUUGAAAAAUGUAAGUGAAAGACUGGGGCACUGACUUCUUCCCAUUUUCCCAAGUCCUGCUUCAGAACCACUCUCCUAGGCCACAAGCCCCUACCUCCUUCUUGGCCCUUUAAUCAAACUUUGCCUACUGAGGGGCAUAACUAUAUGGUAUCCCCAGAACAGGGACUAAUAUUACAGCCCCCAUUUCUUCUCUUUGCUAUUUGCCAUGAUACUCUUAAACCUAGAGACUGGGAUCCUCUCCCUAGACCAAAAGGGAGGGGCACACAGGCAUCAUAAUGGACAUUCAGACAUGGUAUGAUGCGAGGGGUGGGCAUGAGAUAAAUGCUGGAGGAGGUCUGGGCAACACCCCAGUUACUCAUUUGGACUCACUGGGACAAGUGAUUAACUAGAAUUCUCAAUGAAGAAAUGAGAAGAAGGCUCCCUCCAAUUUCUCAAUUUCCACCCCGCCCGAUACCCAGUUUGAUUCCACACCCUCCUAAUCCAUCCCGCCCUUGUAAUCCAACCCGCUCUCCUAAGGCAACCCACUUACCCCCCCUUUUUCCUCAACCUGCCAGGACUCUUUCUCCUCUCCAGAAGUAUGUAGAUUUUUCAGUUUUCUGCUCUAACUGUUAUCCCACUGUGGCUCAUGCCUGCCCUCCCCACUACCCUACCCUAAAACUCUUCCUGCCCUGCUCCUCUGCUAUUCAUUACAGACUACCUAUUUGCCAAUGCCGUGGUCCCACAACUCUUUCUGGCAACUUCCCUGUCUAUGCCCCUAGCCCUCUUAGCCCUGCUUGCCAAAGCUGUGGUUCCAGAGCUCUUUCCUGUGACUCCCCUAUCUAUCCACCUACUCCUCCUCCUAGCCCUACUUGCCAAUGCUGUGGUCCCAGAAUUCCUUCCUGUCACUCCCCUGUCUAUCCCCCUACUCCUCAUCCUAGCCCUACUUCUUCCCAAUACUCUAGUCCCAGAACUCUUUCCUGUGACUCCUCUAUCUAUUCCUCUACUACUUCUUCUAGCUCUGUUUGCGAAUGCUGUGGUCCCUGAACUUUUUCCUGUUACUCCCCUAUCGAUCCCCCUACUCCUCCUUGUAGCCCUUCUUUCUAGAACUCAGCCUCCAGCCCCACCACCUGCAACCAGACCUGGCGAUUCAAAGAUCUCAUCUUGGAGAUGAUUUUCCUGCUCCUGGAGCAGUUUUGGUGCAGUUCAGAAUGGCCAGUACUAUGGCUUCAGCAGCCUGACCUGGUGGACAAAGAGAAGCAAGACAAUGGCAAACCUGCAUUCAGCCUCAUCUGCUCCUUUCCUUCCCUGCCUGAUCAGCCAGAUGGCCUAAGCUUCUACAUUUGUCCCUGGCUUCUCCAUGGAACUCAGUCUGUAGCCACAGAACAAACCAUAGGGCCAGAGACAGAGAAGGUAGAGGUGAAUGAGGAGUGGGAAGCACCUCAUCUGUUCUCAAGGAGGGGAAUGAUUGGCCAAGAUGAGACCCAAUCAUAUGUCCAUUACCUCCUGGGUCAUCCACUUGGUGGUGAGUCCUUUCCAGGCCAUGUGCCGGGGCAGUUCCAGUAACCAGGCAGGAGCUGAGAAGCCCCAGGCAGGGACAGCUGCCUGGAGACGGAAAAGGAUGCAGUUGCCUGGAGUCGGCAGAAGGCGCGGAGCAGGUAGGGAGCAAGAGGGCACCCAGACCAAGCAGCAUGGAGGCGAUGGUGGGACACCCAAGGGAGCAGGCGAACCCAGAUGAGGUUCAUCCGGACCAGAUUUUGUAGGGUCCGCGUGUCCAUAUCAAGCCACGUGGAGGCCAUAGUGGGACACCCAAGAGAGCAGGUGAUGCCAGAUGAGGUUCAUCGGGACCAGAUCUUGUGGGGACUGCGUGACCAUAUCAAGCCGUGUAGAGGCCACGGUGGGACACCCGAGGGAGCAGGCGACCCCACAUGAGGUUCAUCAGGACCAGAUCUUGUGGGGACUACAUGACAAGAUCAAGCUGUGUGGAGGCCACGGUGGGACACCUGAAGGAGCAGGCGACCCCAGAUGAAGUUCAUCAGAUCUUACGGGGACCACCUGACUAGAUCAAGCUGUGUGAAGUCCAUGGGGGGACACUCCAGAGAGCAAACGACCCCAGAGGAGGUUCAUCAGGACCAGAUCUUCUGGGGACCGUCUGACGAGAUCAAGCCAUGGGGAGGCCACAGGGGACACCUGAGGGAGCAGGCGACACCAGAUGACGUUCAUCGGGACCAGAUCUUGCGGGGACCGUGUGACCAGAUCAAGCCAUGAGAAGACCAUGGUGGGACACCUGAGGGAGCAGGUUACCCCACAUGAAGUUCACUGGGACCAGAUCUUGUGGGGACUGCCUGACCAGAUCAAGUUGUGUGGAGACCACGGUGGGACACCCGAGAGACCAGGCAACCCCACAUGAGGUUCAUCAGAUCUUAUGGGGUCCGCCUAAGCAGACCAAGCCGUGUAGAGGCCACGGUGGGACACUGCCGGAGCAGGUGAACCCAGAUGAGGUUCAUCAAAUAUUCUGGCGACCGCAUGAUCAGAUCAAGCUGUGUGGAAGCCACAGUUGGACACCCGAGGGAGCAGGUGACCCCACAUGAGGUUCAUCGGGGCCAGAUCUCGUGGGGACCACCUGACUGGAUCAAUCCAUGUGAAGGCCAUGGUGGGACACCCGAGGGAGCAGGUGAUUCCAGAUGAGGUUCAUCAGAUCUUGUGGGGACCGCCUGACUAUAUCAAGCCAUAGGGAGGCCACGGUGGGACACCUGAGGGAGCAGGCGACCCCACAUGAGGUUCGUUGGGACCAGAUCUUGUGUUUACCGCGUGAGCAGAUCAAGUUGUUUGGAGGCCACAGUGGGACACCUGAGGAAGCAGGCAACCCCAGAUAAAGUUGAGACCAAAUCUUGUGGGGACAGCAUGACCAGAUCAAGCCGUGUGGAGUCCACAGUAGGACACCCGAGGGAGUAGGCGACCUCAGAUGAGGUUCAUCAGGACCAGAUCUUGUGGGGACCGCCUGACCACAUCACGCCAUGUGGAGGCCAUGGUGGGACACCCGAGAGAGCAGGCGACCCCAGAUGAGGUUUAUCCAAACCAGAUCUUGUGGGGACCGCCUGACCAGAUCAAGGAGUAUGGAAGCCACAGUGGGACACCCAAGGGAGCAGGUGACCCCACAUGAGGUUCAUCAGAUGUUGUGGGGACUGCGUGACCGGAUCAAGCAGUGUGGAGUCCACGACAGGAAAUUCGAGGGAGCAGGCGAUUCCAGAUGAAGUUCAUCAGGACCAGAUCUUGUGGCAGACCUUCUGAUCAGAUCACGCCGUGUGGAGGUCAUGGUAGGACACCCAAGGGAACAAGCGACCCUAGA